CAUUAAGUGACCGAAUG
RNAcentral lists this transfer RNA (17 nucleotides) under Tibicina steveni. RNAcentral describes it as "partial tRNA-Lys". The record is from RNAcentral. Lineage: Eukaryota; Metazoa; Arthropoda; Insecta; Hemiptera; Cicadidae. RNAcentral also lists the same sequence under 21 other names.